AGAGUUUGAUCCUGGCUCAGGAUGAACGCUGGCGGCGUGCUUAACACAUGCAAGUCGAACGGGAAACUUUUCAUUGAAGCUUCGGCAGUUUUGGUCUGUUUCUAGUGGCGGACGGGUGAGUAACGCGUGGGUAACCUGCCUUAUACAGGGGGAUAACAACCAGAAAUGAUUGCUAAUACCGCAUAAGCGCACAGGACCGCAUGGUCCGGUGUGAAAAACUCCAGUGGUAUAAGAUGGACCCGCGUUGGAUUAGCUAGUUGGCAGGGUAACGGCCUACCAAGGCGACGAUCCAUAGCCGGCCUGAGAGGGUGAACGGCCGCAUUGGGACUGAGACACGGCCCAGACUCCUACGGGAGGCAGCAGUGGGGGAUAUUGCACAAUGGGGGAAACCCUGAUGCAGCAACGCCGCGUGUGGGAAGAAGGUUUUCGGAUUGUAAACCACUGUUCUUGGUGAAGAUAAUGACGGUAACCAAGGAGAAAGCUCCGGCUAACUACGUGCCAGCAGCCGCGGUAAUACGUAGGGAGCAAGCGUUGUCCGGAUUUACUGGGUGUAAAGGGUGCGUAGGCGGCUAGGCAAGUCAGACGUGAAAACCAUGGGCUCAACCUGUGGACUGCGUUUGAAACUGUUUAGCUUGAGUGAAGUAGAGGUAGGCGGAAUUCCCGGUGUAGCGGUGAAAUGCGUAGAGAUCGGGAGGAACACCAGUGGCGAAGGCGGCCUACUGGGCUUUAACUGACGCUGAGGCACGAAAGCAUGGGUAGCAAACAGGAUUAGAUACCCUGGUAGUCCAUGCCGUAAACGAAGAUUA
RNAcentral lists this ribosomal RNA (806 nucleotides) under uncultured bacterium. RNAcentral describes it as "bacterial SSU rRNA". It matches the Rfam family "Bacterial small subunit ribosomal RNA", at positions 8 to 815 of the family's 1533-position model. The record is from RNAcentral.